CUGUAGGAUCUGGAGCGUCCGCCUGCCGCAAGGUAGCGCGGGCUGCUGCAGAGCCAAACCUUCUACCCUUGUCUAUGAGCACCUCUCGUUUCCUCGGCGGGUUCGCCCGCCAGAGGACCCCCCUUCAAACCCUUUUGCCAUCCUUGCAGUACUGUCUGAUAGCGAAAGCAAUAUAUAAAUCA
RNAcentral lists this unclassified non-coding RNA (182 nucleotides) under uncultured Ascomycota. RNAcentral describes it as "sequence contains ITS1". The record is from RNAcentral. Lineage: Eukaryota; Fungi; Ascomycota.